RNAcentral lists this long non-coding RNA (239 nucleotides) under Elaeis guineensis (African oil palm). Its description in RNAcentral is "long non-coding RNA (EGUI_LNC010742)". Lineage: Eukaryota; Viridiplantae; Streptophyta; Magnoliopsida; Arecales; Arecaceae. The record is from RNAcentral.
GAUCUACAUAAUGGGAGAGGCUUCUGAUGAGUCAAAGUUGCAUGAUGUGUAGGUGGAUUCCUAUUCACGUAAAUAAUUUUUAAAGUUCAAAAACUAUCUUGCUUGGAUAGACGGGAGGAUGGUCGGAUCUGUCUUGCUUGAAUCGAUGAUCUAUGAGCGAUGAUGACUUGAGGACGAAUCCUUGAGUUGGAAGGAUGUAAAGAGGCAAUGGAGACAGGGAGAAGUGAAGAACCCUGAUG